This 421-nucleotide ribosomal RNA is filed under the name uncultured bacterium. RNAcentral's name for it is "bacterial SSU rRNA". It matches the Rfam family "Bacterial small subunit ribosomal RNA", at positions 498 to 917 of the family's 1533-position model. The record is from RNAcentral.
UGGCCGCGGGAUUCAGCAGCCGCGGUAAUACGUAGGGGGCAAGCGUUGUCCAGAAUUAUUGGGCGUAAAGCGCGCGCAGGCGGCUUCUUAAGUCAGGUGUGAAAGCCCACGGCUCAACCGUGGAGGGCCACCUGAAACUGGGAAGCUUGAGUGCAGGAGAGGAGAGCGGAAUUCCACGUGUAGCGGUGAAAUGCGUAGAGAUGUGGAGGAACACCCGUGGCGAAGGCGGCUCUCUGGCCUGUAACUGACGCUGAGGCGCGAAAGCGUGGAGAGCGAACAGGAUUAGAUACCCUGGUAGUCCACGCCGUAAACGAUGAGUGCUAGGUGUUGGGGACUCCAAUCCUCAGUGCCGCAGCUAACGCAAUAAGCACUCCGCCUGGGGAGUACGGCCGCAAGGCUGAAACUCAAAGGAAUUGACGGA